RNAcentral lists this long non-coding RNA (26279 nucleotides) under Salvia miltiorrhiza (redroot sage). Its description in RNAcentral is "long non-coding RNA (SMIL_LNC007611)". The record is from RNAcentral. Lineage: Eukaryota; Viridiplantae; Streptophyta; Magnoliopsida; Lamiales; Lamiaceae.
AAAAAAAAGAAACCAUUACAAUAAAAGAGCGCACGAAAAUUGAUACAAAUGGAGAAUGCUAACAUGGUAAAAAGCAAAAGUUAAAAUUGAAGGAAUGAGCACAAUACAUUUGGUAAUUGACGUCUGAAAAUGUUUCGUGCACCCCCACGCGCCGCCAUCUACAAUCAACCACUUUACCAAAUUAUAGCAACGCCAAUAGUACUCUUAAAUUAUGAAGAUUUUGGUGCCAAGAAAAGAAAACAAGAGCCCUUUUAUAGAUAAAAAAGAAUAAGCAUUUUGAGUAUGAGUUCGAUGUGGGAUAGAGAAUAUUCACUACGAGCUCGAUGUGGGAAAAAAUCGAAAGACGGUUAAAAAAGAUUGCAUCUUAUACCAUAAAAUGCAACAUUAGAAAAGAUGAUUAUUGCUAAAUGGCGAGGGUAAGAUCUGUGCAGCGAUGGCUAAGCGCACAAAGCUGACGUCUAAUCCGUUUACGUCAAAAGUUAUGACCGUUGUUCACGACAUUCUUCUUCAUGUUGAGCUGCAGAUAUAGCCUUUUAGUGUGUUCAUUAACUCCAUGUUGGUGGCUAGGAUCAUGGCUGGACCAAAUUAUGACAGAGACUUCCUUUCUCAAGACAUCUGCGAUAUCCUUACGGUGGCCAGAGAUAAUUGUUUUUUGGGAGUGUUCCACAUGUAUCGCACGACGAAUGAGGCCGCACACAGCCUGACACAGUAUGUGCGUAGUAUUGAGCAUAGGAAGGUUUGGACGAGUAAUUAUCCCAUGUGGUUGAGGGAUAUUGUAUGCAAUGAUCUUGAGUAAUAAAAUACACGCCUUCCGCCUAAAAAAAAAAGAUGAUUAUUGUGUGGGUGUGUUUGUCAAGCGGCAGAAUUGUCACGACCGGCCCUAAUUAAGGAUAAUUAAGCCGGGGAAACCGUGACUAAUGGAGGGAGAUUAGAAGCGGGGUAGAAAGGGGAAUAAUCAAACAAGAAAGGAUCGCAUUUCAUCAUUGUUAACAACAUGGAUAUUUAUAAUAUAACGGAGUUUUAGUCGUAUAGACUCAAAUAAUUAGUAAGUUCGGAUAACUCCAACUUAUCCAAAAUAACAUAAAACUUCUGAGUACGCAGCGGAAUAAGGUUCUGAUUACAUGUAUGAAGACAUGUAACCCUAGAGUUCAUUAAUACAUAAUAAGACAAAAGAAUCCCGCUCGUCACUUCAUCACCAUCGGCAGCUGCUCAACCUGCACAUUUAGAAAUAUAUGCAGGGCUUGAGUACAAAGUACUCAGUGGGCACGUAUGCCUAAGUAUAAAAAUACAUGCUUCAAAACUGUAAAUUGUCAUGCCAUUAUAACAGUAUAGCAAGGGAGUUUUUCGCUAAAAGGCCCAAGCUUACUAAAUUCAUUUGUGAUUCUUAAAGUUCGACUGCAGUCUAAGUUCUCUUGUAAUCUAUCAUAUCUGGAACUUUGUGCCGGAGAGGUGGCCACCUCUCACGGUCACUUGACCGGCCAACCCGCUAGAUGACUCACGGUCACUGGUGUACACUAGCCCUGGCAGGAUAGCUAUCAACUGCUCAAGACCCGAAUUCGAUUACAUAACUGGCAAAGCCACAUCAGAUAGAUAUCAUACUAAAAUUAAAACAUUUUAUGGCAAGACAAUAUUUGAAAUAACUUCAAUUAAUUUAGUCAUGAAAUAACUUGUUUGAACGUAACAUUUAAACUCAUUUGAUAUAUAUGAAAGUAAUAGUCCCACCUGAUAGCAAUUUUCUGUGAUACAAAAGCUCCUCAACAGAUUAUCAAUCUCGCCCUUGACCUUUAUUACGAGAAUAUAAAUAAGAUACUGCUCGAAUAAAAUCCUCAAUUAAUGAGAAUGCGUAAUUUAACUAUGCAUGAUCCUUAUGCAUGAAUUAUUAUUCUGAGAUAAUAAUCUGGGAGACUCUAUUAUAAAUCCAAGCUAUCAGAUAAAAGCUAAGUCUCGUCUCAUGAAACCGGAUAAUUAACUAAAAUUAAUCUAUUCUCUUCAGGAGGUUAUACUCCACUGAUUAAAUAAUCUUACUCGAGGUAAUCGAUAGAAAAGAAUUAAAUAAAAACUUUAGACUUAUUCGCUUUAUAACCUCAUAAUUAAUAGGGCUUAAUAAAUAGGAACAAGUAAUGUUAUAAAAUUAAAUAAUUAAAAGGCUCAACAUAAGGCAGCCUAAUAAUUAAUUAAGUAGAAUUGGGCUUGAAUAAUUAGCAUGAGAGGCCCAAUUAAAUAUUUCAUCGGCUCAAGUAAUUAAAUAAAUCUUGGCCCAAUAAAUAAAUAAUUUGAUUAACUGGGCUCAAUUAAAUAAAUCAAACGAGGCCCAACGAAGAUAAUAUAACAGCUCAGUUAAAAAAAAUAGAUGGGCUUCAAUUUAAAUAAAUUCGGCCCAAUGAAAUAAUGUAAUAAAAGCUCAUCUGAGUAAAAUAAAUAAGGCCCAACUGAAAUGAUACAGCAGCCCAAAUAAGUGAAUAAUCAAAGGCCCAUAUAAAUAAAAUCAAAGGUCCAAUCAGUAAUUAAAAUCAGCCCAUAUAAAUAAAAUCAGAGGCCCAAUUCACAAUUUAAAAUCAGCCCAUAUAAAUUAAAAUAGGGAAAGCCCAACUAAAACACAAGAAAAUAAAUAACAAAGCCCAAUAAAAUAAUAACUAGAAGGCCCAAAUCAAUUAAAUAACAAGCCCAUUAAGCAAAGCCCAAUUUUCAUAAAUAAGGUAAAGAAGCCCCAAAUACCUUCUCCCCCAAACAUACUCGGUUCUCUCUCUCUCGCAUAACACUCUCGUUUCUCUCUCUCUUUAUUCCAAAAAGUCGAGCUCUCUCUCCCUUCAAGAAACCGCUCUCUCUCUUUUUCUUCUCUCAAAAUUGUCGGCCAUGUUCUGUUUCACUCCCUCUUGCUCAAAAUCCCAUCUCUCUCUCUCUCAAAGGAACACACUUCUGCUAUCUCUCCUCACUCACGCCUCUCUCCAUCUCGCUCUAUCUUCAGCCGAGCUCUCCCUCAAAAUACAGUCGAGCUCAGCCUCUUCCUCUUUCUUUCUCGAUCUGUUCGUCCGAGGCGAGAAGGGCGAGCCCAAAUUUCUCCCUGAUAUUGAAAUCGCCUCUGUCGCCGCUGCAACAUCCGGCGAACAGCCGGGUCUCGCUCGACCUCCUGCGUCGGCUCUUCUUCCCAAUCUGCUGAAGGGAAGCAGAAGUCCNCUGCUCUGCUGUCAUCGUUUUCAUCCUUGCUUCCCACCAGAAAUCAGCUGACCCAGUCAACUGAAAGGACAUACAAGUCAGAAGUUCUUGGUCGGUGCAACGCAGGAAGUUGAAAAUGCGUUCAAUAGCGCGAACCCAAGUUUCAGCUUCUGCCGGGUCUCCUGUCCCGUUGAAGGUAGGUGGGUUCUGUCGUAAGAAUAAUUCUUCAAUCCGUCGUUCUGGCUGAACAGGUGGUUGUACUAUUUCAGGUUCUAGUCUUGAUUCUGGGCAUCUCUCAUCAUUCCGGGGAAUCCUUCUCCCUCCUCUCGGACGCCCUCGUUUCGGUGGCAUUCUAAUGAGUCAAAACACAAGUUGUCAGCGCAUUAAAACGCAAUAAGGACAUACUAUCAUUUUUAUAGUUACUCCUUAACUCAUCGAGUUCUGCUCCUGCUAAAACUUAAGCGAACAUAUAAAUAGAACAUAGCGGAACGACUUGCCGCGAAAGACCAAUAAGGUCACUAUAUAUUCAUGGAAAUUAGUAUCAAUGAGGACUAUGUCAUAAGAAUAGUUCUUCUAUUCUAUGUUCUGGUUGUAUGGGUGGUGAGGCCAUGUUUUGUUCUAGCCCUGGUACUGUAAGUAGAAUGGUUCCAAAUAUCUGAAACUAUAAGCUGAUAGCUUUAAUCGUAAUAUUAUAACAUUAUAUACAAAGCAUUUUGACCCCUCGUAAGUCUAACUCUGAAGUUCAUACAUGAAUCAUGAAGGUUAUCCUCAAGCCAUAGCUAGUGAUAAUCGAGGCUAGAAGCGAGUCUCAGCUUAUUAGGGAUUAGCUAACUGAUUACAUCAGUCGCACUCAUCACUUAUAAUCAAUAUUGUACUUAAACUAUCAUCGAAGGCAAUAGUCGAUUAGGUGUUCCGUUUCGCGUGAACAAUCUGAAUGAAGAACUAUGCCUGCUUCAGUGAUUCGUGCGUGGCACUCUGCUUGCACUGCUUUCAUUGGAUUCUCUUCCUCUUUCUUAGCUAUUCACCAUGGCUAUAGUGAAAUAUAACUGAGUUUCUAGCUUCUAUUGUUCUUCUCGUAACAGUGAUCAUGCAUUCUUAACGCAUCUAAGUUCAUUGAGAUAUCUAAUCAAUCAAUAAAGCAUAAAACUUGAAUGUAAGCAUCAAUACAUUCAUAUAGAACGUGAACUUCUCAAUGUUUUAAAAUCAUUACCACCUUCUUUCUUGCUGAGCAUGACGAUGUGAUGAAGUGAUGAGCUUUGGUCGACUGACUCUUUCAUAGCAGUGAUCAUACUAGAAAAAUUGGUUAACUCUAGGGUUCAGAGCAAAUAAACUGCUCUGAUACCACUCUGUCACGACCGGACCUAAUUAAGGAUAAUUAAGCCGGGGAAACCGUGACUAAUGGAGGGAGAUUAGAAGCGGGGUAGAAAGGGGAAUAAUCAAACAAGAAAGGAUCGCAUUAUCAUUGUUAACAACAGGGAUAUUUAUAAUAUAACGGAGUUUUAGUCGUAUAGACUCAAAUAACUAGUAAGUUCGGAUAACUCCGACUUAUCCAAAAUAACAUAAAACUUCUGAGUACGCAGCGGAAUAAGGUUCUGAUUACAUGUAUGAAGACAUGUAACCCUAGAGUUCAUUAAUACAUAAUAAGACAAAAGAGUCCCGCUCGUCACUUCAUCACCAUCGGCAGCUGCUCAACCUGCACAUUUAGAAAUAUAUGCAGGGCUUGAGUACAAAAGUACUCAGUGGACACGUAUGCCUAAUUAUAAAAAUACAUGCUUCAAAACUGUAAAUUGUCAUGCCAUCAUAAACAGUACAGCAAGGGAGUUUUUCGCUAAAAGGCCCAAGCUUACUAAAUUCAUUUGUGAUUCUUAAAGUUCGUCUGCAGUCUAAGUUCUAUUGUAAUCUAUCAUAUCUGGAACUGUGUGCCGGAGAGGUGGCCACCUCUCACGGUCACUUGACAGGCCAACCCGCUAGAUGACUCACGGUCACUGGUGUACACUAGCCCUGGCAGGAUAGCUAUCAACUGCUCAAGACCCGAAUUCGAUUACAUAACUGGCAAAGCCACAUCAGAUAGAUAUCAUACUAAAAUUGAAACAUUUUAUGGCAAGACAAUAUUUGAAAUAACUUCAAUUAAUUUAGUCAUGAAAUAACUUGUUUGAACGUAACAUUUAAACUCAUUUGAUAUAUAUGAAAGUAAUGCCCACCUGAUAGCAACUUUUGCUUUGGUAAAGUAGCUCCUUGACUGGCUAUUAUUACUCUCGCGCUUUACCUUUAUUGUGAUGAUAUAAAGUAAGAUAUUUGCUCGAAUAAAAUCCUCAAUAAAUGAGAAUGCGUAAUUAACGAUGCAUGAUCCUCUUAUGAAUUAUUAUUCAGAAAUAAUCAGGGAAUUUAUAUUGUUAAUCCAGAUUAUCGGAUUUAAACCAAAGCUAAGUCUCAUCUCAUGAAGCCGGAUAAUUAACUAAAAUUAAUCUAUUCUCUUCAGGAUGUUAUACUCCACUGAUUAAAUAAACCCCAUUCCUCGUAGUCAAUAGAAAAUAAAUAAAUACUUCAACUUAUUCGCUUUAUAACCUCAUAAUUAAUUGGGCUUAAUAAAUAGGAACAAGUAAUGUUAUAAGAUUAAAUAAUUAAAAGGCUCAACAUAAGGCAGCCUAAUAAUUAAUUAAAUAGAAGUGGGCUUGAAUAAUUAACAUGAGAGGCUCAAUUGAAAUAAUUCAUCAACUCAAGUAAUUAAAUAAAUCUUGGCCCAAAUAAAUAAAUAAUUUGAUUAGCUGGGCUCAAUUAAAUAAAUCAAACGAGGCCCAACGAAGAUAAUAUAACAGCCCAAUUAAAAUAGAUGGCCUUCAAUUUAAAUAAAUUCGGCCCAAUGAAAUAAUGUAAUAAAAGCCCAUCUGAGUAAAAUAAAUAAAUUCAGAGGCCCAAUCAGUAAUUAAAAUCGGCCCAUAUAAAUAAAUUUAGAAGCCCAAUUCAUAAUUUAAAAUCGGCCCAAAAUUAAUAAAUAAUCCAGCCCAACUCAAGCCCACUGAAAAUAAAUAACAAAGCCCAAUAAAAUAAUAACUAGAAGGCCCAAAUCAAUUAAAUAACAAGCCCAUUAAGCACAGCCCAAUUUUCAUAAAUAAGGAAAGAAGCCCAAAUCCUUCUCCCCCAAACAUCUCGGUUCUCUCUCUCUCAGCAUAACACUCUCGUUUCUCUCUCUCUUUAUUCCAAAAAGUCGAGCUCUCUCUCCCUUCAAGAAACCGCUCUCUCUCUUUUUCUUCUCUCAAAAUUGUCGGCCAUGUUCUGUUUCACUCCCUCUUGCUCAAAAUCCCAUCUCUCUCUCUCUCAAAGGAACACACUUCUGCUAUCUCUCCUCACUCACGCCUCUCUCCAUCUCGCUCUAUCUUCAGCCGAGUUCUCCCUCAAAAUCAGUCGAGCUCAGCCCCUUCCUCUUUCUUUCUCGAUCUGUUCGUCCGAGGCGAGAAGGGCGAGCCCAAAUUUCUCCCUGAUAUUGAAAUCGCCUCUGUCGCCGCUGCAACAUCCGGCGAACAGCCGGGUCUCGCUCGACCUCCUGCGUCGGCUCUUCUUCCCAAUCUGCUGAAGGGAAGCAGAAGUCCUAAUCUUCCUCGCGGAUUUUGAACCACCUCCCUCAGCUCGGCGCCGCGGCGUUCUGUGAACCCGGUGAAUUUCAGUCUCCGUCCAGUUCUCUGUCCACCUCCGGCGAACAGCCGAUUCUCGUUCGUCUUCAGAAUCUCCCUCCGUCGUCGAGCCCUAAGUUUCAAAAAGGGCAGAACGCCGUUGCCGAGCGUCCGCUGCUGCUGCGCUCGAGCCCUUGCUCGGCCAUGGUUCAGGUCAGCUGCUGUUGUGUGAUUUCCGGCGAGCAGGGGAGGGUCCACCUUUGCUGUCGCUGUUCCCGGCGAAGGGUGUCGCCUUCGUUGUUCUCCGGGGUCGAUGGGGUUCGAGUUGCGCCCCACGCCGCCGCUGCUGCCGUUCUCGGACUUCUCCGUCGAAAGUCUGCCGCCUCCGUCGAUUCCCCGAGCCCCGACGUCGCUGCUGUAACUCAGAUUCCGACAAGGCAGCUCGCUGUCGUCUUCCUUGAGCUCGACUAUACAGGGCAGUCGGCCCUAUUCCUUAAGCUAAGUUCUUUAGUUUCAUUCUUCCUUUUUAUCGAUUCGAAAACGUGAACUAGACAAGGUGAAAUCUUCUUGUUUUGCAUAACUCAAAUUAUGCUCGUUUACUCCUAUGUAAUCUGUCACUUGUUCAUGAUCGCAUAGUUGGGUGUUUACUAAGUUCAAGAUUCUUAUAACUUGCUAUUCUAGAGUGCAUCAGAUUGUGAAACUUAUGAUCACUCUACUGUACGACAUAUCUUCCCUAUUUGAUGCAGAUGAACUGUGAUAUGUAAGAUAUGGAUGUGAACUGAAUUGAAUAUUAGGAUAGCAUGAUUACCUUGAAUGUUUGUGCUUUUGGUUGGCUGCGGUGAUGUUGAGUUCAAUGAGAAGAUAGCUGAAAACAAAUUGUGUAUUUUGUUUGCUUAACAAUGCAGGAGGAACUUAGGAAGAAACUGGAGAGGAUCAGGUCAAUCUUACCUCUCGAAUCUUGCAGCAAUUAUGACAACUUCCUCAAGCUGUUGAUGCGUAAAGAGAGAAGGAUUUGGUGGGUGAUAUAAUAAGGAGUGAAGUUGGUGGCUGUAAAGGGAGGAAAGCAUGGCUUUUGGUGGUUGAAGAGGUGGGGAACAAAGGAUGGUGGCAGCACACUUAUUUCUUUCCACUAACUCUAAUGAUUUUCCUUUAUUGCUUUAAUGAUUUUCCUUUAUUGAUUCCUUGUCGGCUGAUGGUAUUAAACAAGGAAUGGUGUUGCAUUUGAUGUGUAGUAAUGUGGGAUAUGGCUGAAGUAAAGCUCUUGCCUCUUGGGAAUUAUAAACUUGUAGUACAGUAACGCGCUUAAUGAAAUACUAAUCUUGAAUUCUUACUAAUGUAGCGUAUAUAUAUAUAUACUCGCACGAUAUUUGAUUUCUUGCUUGCUAGCAUCGAUGGACUGUAAAAUAAAUCUAAAUUAAAUCCGUAGAUUUAAUUCUCCUCACAAGCCGGAAAUAAUCCACGACUUAAGUAAUUAUAAAUAAUAGAAUCGAUAGUCUCAUCUCGCUUAAUUAAUUAACGUGACUUUGCUAAGUCAGUUAUAACUCUGAAAUAAUAUCAUUGACUGCUUUAAUAAUAUGAAUUCAGGAUCAUAAGCUGAAUUCAUAUCAGGAUAAUAAACGUUUUCAUUCACUGAUGAACAAAAAUAAACACUCAUUACUGGAUUUAAAAUAUAUAAAAGAGCGGGUCACUACAUAAACUGAGCCCAAUUGAAAAUUAAUGGCCCAAACUGAAACAAAAAUAAACAAAAACUCGGCCCAAUACUCAAACCUAGCCUAGCCCAAAACUCCCUCCCUUCUUCUCCCCCCAUCAGCCGCACACACACUCACAACUGCAGAUAAUUGCGUUUGUCCCACGAUUUGUUGCCGUUUCCAGUUAGCCCGUUGAGUAGCCUACUUUAGUAACUCCUUCUCUCUCUAGCGGUGAAUCUUCAACAGCCCUGAUACCUCCGGGACUUAGGGACGACGACGAGCGCCGUCGACUCCCUCUCUCUCUCUGAAUCAGUCCGGCGAGCAACCAUGAAGGUCGUCGCCGUCCUCUCCUUCGGUUCUCUCUCAAAUCUCCCCCCCUGUUAACAGAUCUGGAGGGCGCGGUCAGUGGCUCCACGCCACCACCGUCCGAGUCGUCUCCCUCCUUGGAAACGGCGAGAUCGCCGCUCCCUCCCUCUCUCUCUGCUCUCCCUCCGUCCGUGGCCGGACGACAGCGGCAGGGCCGCCGCGCCCUGACCUCCACAAAUCCCCAGCCCAGACCAGCCACCGCCCCAGCCCCUGUUCCCGAUUGCCGAAGUGUCGCAGCCCGCCUUAACUAAGGAUAGUUAAGCCGAGUGAUCUACGACUAGGGAUGGGGUUAAAGAAUAAGGGGAAGAAAGGGGCAUCAUUUGGAACCGUAAAUCUUACUCAACUUAAGAAAACUCGUCGUAUCUACUCAUUAAUACUCAAUUGAAAAGAGUCUAUGAAAGACAACAUAAAAACUUAAUUAAUACUCCCUCCGUCCGCGAUAUCGUUUCCACAUUUGCCAUUUCGGUCCGUCCGCGAUAUCGUUUCCACUUCCAUUUAUAGAAGUAGGGUCCACAAACUUCCACUCACAAUAAUAGUGGGACCCAAACUCCACUCACUACAUAUGCACUACUAUCCACUAAUUUUCUUAAAACCCGCGCCGUCCACAAUGUGAAAACGAUAUCGCGGACGAAGGGAGUAUCAUUAAUCAAGUUAUACAUCAGAUGAAACCAUUAUCUUAAGACUCAAAGUAUGACAUAACAUACUAUAACAUCAACAACAUCUUGCAGCGGAAAGUAGCUAGACAUAUGUAUGAAGACAUAUUCUAGACAGGUUAACUAUUUAUUAACAACCCUGGAGACUCCGCCCAUUGCAGCACCAUCACCACAUCAGCUCAACCUGCACAUUUAGAAAACAUAUGCAGGGCUGAGUACAAAAGCACUCAGUGAACACAUNAAGAGCCAAUUAAAUAAAAGACUGGCCCAAUUCGAAUUUAAAUAUGAAAGCCCAAGCAAUUAAAAUUGGAAGCCCAAUUUCAUUAAAAAUAAUCUCAAAAUUUCGGCCCACAUAAAUUAGAGGAAAGCCCAAACAAUUAAAAUUAAUCAAGCCCAAAGAAUUAAAUGAAAAGGCCCAAUCACAGCCCAAAUACUAAAAUAAAUAAAGCCCAAAUCCUUCUCCCCCAAACAUCUCGGUUCUCUCUCUCAGCAUAACACUCUCGUUCUUUCUCUCUUUAUUCCAAAAAGUCGAGCUCUCUCUCCCUUCAAGAAACCGCUUUCUCUCUUUUUCUUCUCUCAAAAUUGUCGGCCAUGCUCUAUUUCACUUCCUCUUGCUCAAAAUCCCAUCUCUCUCUCUCUCAAAGGAAACACACUGCUGCUAUCUCUCCUCACUCACGCCUCUCUCCAUCUCGCUCAAAAUCAGUCGAGCUCAGCCGAGUUCUCUCUCUCAAAAAUCACUCACGCCUCUCUCCAUCUUCCUCUUCAGCCGAGUUCUCCCUCAAGAUCAGUCGAGCUCAGCCCCUUCCUCUUUCUUUCUCGAUCUGUUCGUCCGAGGCGAGAAGGACGAGCCCAAUUUCUUCCUGAUAUUGAAAUCGCCUCUGUCGCCGCUGCAACAUCCGGGUCUCGCUCGACCUCCUGCGUCGGCUCUUCUCACUCUCAAAGAAACACACACACAGACGCACAUCUCACCCUCUCACGCGAUCUGCUGCCGCUGCCUGAGACCCGCGAAGGAUCCGGCGCAACCGCCGCCGACAAAUGUUGCUGUUGCCGCUGCUGUCUGAGAUCGGUGGUCCGCCUGCUGGAGGAACGCCGCUGCCGUCAGCUCGUCCGAAGUCGCCGCCAACUACCGCUGCCGUUUCGCCGGAGUCGCGGCCUGGAGCUGCUGCAGCUCGAGCCCUUGCUCGGCCAUGGUUCAGGUCAGCUGCUGUUGUGUGAUUUCCGGCGAGCAGGGGAGGGUCCACCUUUGUUGUCGUUGUUCCCGGCGAAGGGUGUUGCCUUCGUUGUUCUCCGGGGUCGAUGGGGUUCGAGUUGCGCCUCACGUCGCCGCUGCUGCCGUUCUCGGACUUCUCCGUCGAAAGUCUGCCGCCUCCGUCGAUUUCCCGAGCCCCGACGUCGCUGCUGUAACUCGGAUUCCGACAAGGCAGCUCGCUGUCGUCUUCCUUGAGCUCGACUAAACAGGGCAGUCGGCCCUAUUCCUUAAGCUAAGUUCUCUAGUCAUUCUCCUUUUAUCGAUUCGAAAACGUGAACUAGACAAGGUGAAAUCUUCUUGUUUUGCAUAACUCAAAUUAUGCUCGUUUACUCCUAUGUAAUCUGUCAUUUGUUCAUGAUCGCAUAGUUGGGUGUUUACUAAGUUCAAGAUGCUUAUAACUUGCUAUUCUAGAGUGCAUCAGAUUGUGAAACUUAUGAUCUCUCUACUGUAGGACAUAUCUUCCCUAUUUGAUGUUGAUGCAGAUGAACUGUGAUAUGUAAGAUAUGGAUGUGAACUGAAUUGAAUAUUAGGAUAGCAUGAUUACCUUGAAUGUUUGUGCUUUUGGUUGGCUGCGGUGAUGUUGAGUUCAAUGAGAAGAUAGCUGAAAACAAAUUGUGUAUUUUGUUUGCUUAACAAUGCAGGAGGAACUUAGGAAGAAACUGGAGAGGAUCAGGUCAAUCUUACCUCUCGAAUCUUGCAGCAAUUAUGACAACUUCCUCAAGCUGUUGAUGCGUAAAGAGAGAAGGAUUUGGUGGGUGAUAUAAUAAGGAGUGAAGUUGGUGGCUGUAGAGGGAGGAAAGCAUGGCUUUUGGUGGUUGAAGAGGUGGGGAACAAAGGAUGGUGGCAGCACACUUAUUUCUUUCCACUAACCUUAAUGAUUUUCCUUUAUUGCUUUAAUGAUUUUCCUUUAUUGAUUCCUUGUCGGCUGAUGGUAUUAAACAAGGAAUGGUGUUGCAUUUGAUGUGUAGUAAUGUGGGAUAUGGCUGAAGUAAAGCUCUUGCCUCUUGGAAAUUAUAACUUGUAGUACAGUAACGCGCUUAAUGAAAUACUAAUCUUGAAUUCUUACUAAUGUAGCGUAUAUAUAUAUACUCGCACGAUAUUUGAUUUCUUGCUUGCUAGCAUCGAUGGACUGUAAAAUAAAUCUAAAUUAAAUCCGUAGAUUUAAUUCUCCUCACAAGCCGGAAAUAAUCCACGACUUAAGUAAUUAUAAAUAAUAGAAUCGAUAGUCUCAUCUCGCUUAAUUAAUUAACGUGACUUUGCUAAGUCAGUUAUAACUCUGAAAUAAUAUCAUUGACUGCUUUAAUAAUAUGAAUUCAGGAUCAUAAGCUGAAUUCAUAUCAGGAUAAUAACCGUUUUCAUUCACUGAUGAACAAAAAUAAACACUCAUUACUGGAUUUAAAAUAUAUAAAAGAGCGGGUCACUUCAAGAAUGGUUAAUGUUUAUUGUCUGAUAAUAGUUAGGCAUAAUAUAAAAAAACUAGCAACAUAAGAUGCAUUUACUAAGAAAAUCUCCUUCUAUAGUAGUAUAUUACUAGGCUUACACCAAUUCAACUUGCAUUUUAUGCAACCAUUCUCCUUUUCUCAUAGAACGCCUAUUGAAAUAAACAAACUUGUACAUCUUAUGGUUUCGUAGCCCUGCAUAUAUACUCGUGCAAUCUAGUUGGACUUUCAUUGCAUAAAGAUAAACACACACAUGAUUAAUUAGAGUUGGACUUUCAUUGCAUAAAGAUAGACACACAUGAUUAAAACGUAUUAUUAUGUUAAGAUUUUGCAAUAAAAUGAAUGAGAGUUUUAUUUUCAUGCUUUUUAACUACUUCCAUCUAUCAUCAUUGUUUCACUUUGGGAUAAAUGCUACAUUAGCAGAUGCUUACUCCCUUUGUGUUCAUGCCUAACUUGGUACAAACAUUUUUUUUCUUUUUGGGGAUUAAAGUUUGGUACAACUUCUAACAUUAUAUUUUAAUGGUAUUCAAUUAAUAUUUACAACCUGCAUCAAAUAGUUAAAAACAACGAGGAAGUUGGAUCAUUUUAUUGUGAAAAAACGUGUGCCUUAACUCAGAGAAGGACAUUACAAAUGCAUCAAAUGAAAGCAUUUUCAAAUCCAUAUCACAUUUCAAACAUGUCCGUGAAGAUUCACUUCAAACUUUUUUAAUGGGAAUCAAGAAAUAGUUGAAAUACAAGUGCCGAAAUUGGGGAGUGGUAGAUCAUUUCCCUCAAUUUCAUUUUAUGUUUCAAACUUGUAAGUAAAAAAAAAAAAUUACUUCACAUAUAGUGAACGUUAUAAUAGUGCGCAUACAUAUAUAAUGCAUUUAGUGGGAAAACCUGAGCAACCAACUCAACCUAAGAUUGGAGAUUCCUAACAAUACAUUUUUUAUUUUUUAGAUUGCGAAAGCGCAAAAAUAUGUUAGAAAUGUGAUAUGGUGUUAUUCGCCAUAAAGCACAUAGAUUUUGUAUUAGAAACUAUAGUUUCUCUUUGUAAUGAGAUCUCUCUAUAGUUGCAUAUAUAUAUAUAUAUAUAGGGAGUGGUUCUAUUGAGAAGCUAUAUAUUGUUGAGAAGUUGAGAAGCAAUCUAAUAGAUGAACAUGUCAAUACAUUUUGAUGAACAUGACAAUUAGACCCUAGAUCAAUAAAUUCUUUGAACAUACCAAAUAUAACUGACGAACAUACGAAUCUAUUUAAUUUGUUAAAAAAUAUCCACCGCCAAGGAUCGAACCCCAGAUCAAACCCGCGUUCAUAAAAACUAAUCAACAUGUUCAUCUAUUGGAUUGCUUCUCAACUUCUCAACACAUUUGAGCUUCUCAAUAAAACCUAACCCUAUAUAUAUAUAUAUAUAUAUAUAUAUACACAUACUANNNNNNNNNNNNNNNNNNNNNNNNNNNNNNNNNNNNNNNNNNNNNNNNNNNNNNNNNNNNNNNNNNNNNNNNNNNNNNNNNNNNNNNNNNNNNNNNNNNNNNNNNNNNNNNNNNNNNNNNNNNNNNNNNNNNNNNNNNNNNNNNNNNNNNNNNNNNNNNNNNNNNNNNNNNNNNNNNNNNNNNNNNNNNNNNNNNNNNNNNNNNNNNNNNNNNNNNNNNNNNNNNNNNNNNNNNNNNNNNNNNNNNNNNNNNNNNNNNNNNNNNNNNNNNNNNNNNNNNNNNAUUUAUUUUUUUUUUAAUUUUUUUUUUCAUUUAUCAUCUAAUAAAUUGGUCAAAUAUAAUAAUACAAAAAUAUUAAAAUUAAAUAUAUAUUGAAAUACAAGUGAAAAUUUAAACAUUGAUUAUUACUAAGAAUUCAAGAUUCCUAUAGUAAGAAACUUAUAAUUAUAACUUAAGAAUGUUAAUUUGAUUAGUGAUCCACUUGAUUAGUGAUCCACUCAUCAAUCAUCACUAAUCUAAUAUUAUUACUAAGCAUUCAAGAUUAUUAGUAAGAACUUAUAAUUAUAACUUAAUAAUGUUAAUUUGAUUAGUGAUUCACACAUCACUCAUCACUAAUGUAAGAUAUUACUUAAGAAUUCAAGAUUCUUAGUAAGAAUCUUAUAAUUAUAACUUAAGAAUGUUAAUUAGAUUAGUGAUUCACUCAUCAAUCAUCACUAAUCUAAUAUUAUUACUAAGCAUUCAAGAUUGUUAGUAAGAAACUUAUAAUUAUAACUUAAUAAUGUUAAUUUGAUUAGUGAGUUACUCAUCACUCAUCACUAAUCUAAGAUUAUUACUAAGAAUCUAAGAAACUUAUAAUUAUAACUUAAUAAUGUUAAUUUGAUUAGUGAUUCACUCAUCACUCAUCACUUAUCUAAGAUUAUUACUAAGAAUUCACUAUUGUUAGUAAGAUUCUUAUAAUUAGUAACUUAAGAAUAGCUAAUUUGAUUAGUGAUUCACUCAUCAAUCAUCACUAAUCCAAGAUUAUUACUAAGAAUUCAAGAUUCUUAGUAAGAAACUUAUAAUUAGUGAUUCACUCAUCAAUUGUCACACCCCAAUUCUUGAAAGAAUAAAUAUAAUCGAGGUAUAAAUAAUUCAUAGAAAUAAACAAGGGAAAUACCUUGUUAAAACCCGAAAUAGGAUAGAAAGUCGGGCUAUGCCCCUUUGGAUCACAAGUUUUGUUUCAUGCUUCUGACAACCGACAUUCAUUGGCAUAAAUUUAGUAGUGAAGAGUCUAAGCUCGGUCAGGUAUAUCAUUUGAAAUUUAAAAUGAAGAUCUUAAGUUGGGAAAACAAAAGACUGAUAUGAGUAAUUGCUACAGCGGAAGUCUAACAUAGGAAUUUAUCGCUAGCCUCAGCUCCGUCCCGUCAGCACCGGCCAGCCAACCUGAAAACAUUUGAAAGUAUUUUUGGGCUAAGUACUAAUGUACUUAGUGGGCAUGCAUUUUCUGAAACAUUUCAUAUUUUCGUAAAGAGCAGUUUAUCCAAUCAUACUUGACAUGACUUAGAAGGUUUUAAAUUGAAAUAACUUCUAAGCAUGUUAAAACAUUUUUCAUUUGUGCGCACAUGUCACACUCCCUUUCUGUUACUCGCUGUGAUCCCGGACCUUUUAGCCACCGACGGAUCCAUUUCUCCCAUUUCACUUGCCCUGAGGACGUAACUCAGACAAGUGUACCCAUACAGGCCUUACAUGAUACAUGCUCCGGAACACAUCCAGCCGAGCACCCUUAUAACGCCUCUUACAUGAAUUAGUGCCCGAUGGAGAUCAACCCACCGAAACAACUAACAAGUGUACACAAUUCUCAAAUAACGUGUUAGGCCAUAAGAGAACCUCGAUCGAUCCAUGAAUUGCGAGCCUUAAACAGAGCAGAGUGCACAUAAACAUUUUAUUGGAUAAACAGUUUUCAUUACAUUAAAUAAACAAUUUGCAUUUCAUUGAAACAUUUAGAGCUUAAUAACUCAAUCAUACUUUGUACAUUUGGAAAGUAAGCCCACCUGGUUAGGCAAAGCCUGAAGAUCAUAAUCACAUAUAAACCUGUCUUGGGAAAGCAGCGCUAAUCCCCCUGGUCACAAAGCCUACAAGAAAUUCUAUUCUUAAUAGGUCUCGUGAAGCUAAUCUUAAGUCAUGGUGUAGUGCUUAAUAUUCUAUAAUUCACUUAGCCGGGUUUUUAAACUUUAAUGAAUAAAUAAUUGAAAACAUUUCUCUUGAGUUAAGAACACCAACAAUAUUCUUACUCAUCUUUCUUUAAUAAUUGGAAUUAUAAAUAAAACCAAUUAAAUCUUAAAUACUCUUAUUGCAAAAAUAUAAUGCAAAUUCAUGUCAUGCUUGGCAUAUAAUAAGAAAUUACUUAAAAUAUGCGUAUAAUAAUAAUUUAAUAUUAUUAUGAAAAUUAAAAAAAUAAUUAAUCAAACUUAAAGAAGUCUAAUUAAUUUAAUAGUGCAGUCCAUUUAAAAAAAAAAAAAACAAUCUGCAUAGCUUAACUAAAUAAAAAUGGAUUGGGCUCAAUAAUUCAAUUAAUAGUCAACCCAAGGUUUUUUUUUUUUUUUUAAAAAAAUUUUCAGCCCAUUUUAGAUAAAAAUCGGCCCAACUCCCAUGGCCCAAUCCUAAGCUAAGCCCUAGCCCAUUUCUCCUCCCCCCUUUCCCAUAUCAAACACACGCACACACACAUUCAGAAACACACACACACAUGCAGCUGCUGCUGCUGCGCAGCAGCCUUCCCCUCCUCGCCUUCUUCUCUCCUCCGGCGGACGGUAGCAGCGCCGGCCGCCGCCGCCGCCAUCCCUGACUUCCCUAUCCCUCGCCCUUGCUCUCUCUUUCUUCCUCACCUCUCUCGACUGCUCUCUCGCCCUCGACUGCUCUCUCGCCGCGGACGCUCGCCGGAGCGAGCGGCGACAACCACUGCCCCUCGGUUCUCCCUUCUCUCGGUUCAAAACAGAGGAUCACCGCCUCCGUCCAUCUCUCUCUCACCGUGGUUGGAAGGUAGCGGCAGAGCCGCCGUGCCCUAUCCCCCUUCUCUCUGACUUCCGCCAGACCCCAUUGCCGCUGCUACUCCAUCGUGCCCGGCGACGAGCGCCGCUCCGGCUACUUCUCCCUCGAGCCCCCCUGUCACUCCCCCUGCUCCCUCUCCUCCUUGACGACGACGGACGCCGCCGCCUGAAGCUCUAGGCUAAGCCUCCCCCGACUGACAGACGCUCACAACACAGACCAUGACUCCCUCCCCUCUCAGUUUUUCGCCCUUGGCCGGACAGCAGCAGGAGAAUCACCGCCGCCGACCGCAUCUCUCUUCUCGACUCAUACAGCCAACAACCACAUCAAGGUUCGAAAUCAAAUCAAGACAAAGCUUCAAGACUCUAUUUUUAUUCUUCUUUUUAUUCAUUUUCGAUUUUCAUCAUUGUAAACCAUUUGAUAUGUUUGCUUAAACACAUAUAUGAGUAUGUAUAUAAAUAUAUAUAAAUGAAUGUAUGCAUAUGUGUUUCUCUGUGAAUUUUGGUGAAGGUAUGUAUGGCUGUGAUUUGUGUGUGAAAGUAAUGGACGUGUCUCAUUCAAUAUUGUAAAAACAAGUCAUGUAGUUUAAAGAAGAAGAAGAUGAAACCUUGGGGAUGUUCUGUUCAAAGAUAUGAAUUUGCUUUGAUGUUGAAGCUAUGAAACUGCUUGACUGUUUUAAAAAAAAACAUGAGCUCCUCCUCGGCAGAAUGAGUUGUGGGAAUUAUGAAUGGAGAAUAUAAGAAUUUGGCUGAUAUACCUUACGUAUAUUAUAAGCUGCAAAAUGUUGGGUGUAAAGGAAAAGGUGGAGGAUGGGAUUUUUGCUGAAAGUGGGAGGAAAGGUGGAGGAUGCAACUUUUGCUGAAAGUGUUUUGAUAUAAAAAUUAAAGGGGCAUAGUUGGUGGAGAGUAGUGGGUGUGGGAGUAGGUGGGUGAAAUAAAAUAAAAUAAAAUAAAAAGUCUUCCGGGUUGUACUAUGAAAACUGUAAUAAUUCUUCAGGGUUUGCUGACUAAAAGCUCGUGAAAAUGCUUUGAAUGCUAAAUUAAAUAAAUAUGCGACGCACAUAAAUUUAAUAACUAAAUUUACAAAUAUAUUUUUUUUUAAAUCUACUUUUGUUGGAAUUAAAAUAAAAUUUAAUUUUCUAUAUAUCCGGCGUGAAUCAUCCUGACUUCUAAGUUCAAAAUUACUCUAAAUUUAGCUAGGAAAAAGCGGGGUGUUACAGUGAUUCACACUUCACUCAUCACUAAUCUAAGAUUCUUACAAAGAAUUCAAGAUUCUUAGUAAGAAUCUUAUAAUUACUCCUUCUGUCCCAUUAAUAAAGACAGUUCUUUUGAGCACGAGAAUUUAAGAGAGUUAAAUUAGGGAGUAAAAUAUAUUAGCUUAUUUAUUUAAUACAUUUAAUAUUAAUCUUGUUUAAUUCUUCUUUUUCUCUCUUAGUUCCACCAUUGUUGUAACCUCUUUUUACUAUCUUUUCUCCUCCGGCGGAAUCGCCGGCGACCACCACCGCUGACCACCGUCGAAACAGCAAGAGAAAAAUUGAAAUCUGCCAUUUCCAUUCCUUACAUUCCUAUUCCCAAAUUUGAACCAUGAAAACCGAAUCAAAUCCAGAAAUCCAGAAAUUUGAACCAUGAAAAUCGAAUCUAGAAAUCGAAACAACACAACCAAAAAUCGAAUCAACACAACCAGAAAUUGAAACAACACAGCUAGAAAUUUUGUUUUCCCCGAUUCCCAAAUUUGAACCAUGAGAAUGGCGGCGGAGAUGGAGGGUUUCAGAAGGAGGGUGGUGGCCUCACCGCUGCGGCGGCCGGAGAAGGAGAAGAGAGGGGGAUGUGUGGCGGUUUCAGACCCGCACGUAUCUCGAGCUACGUCUCCGCCUCCCCAGAACCAGAUCCACCACUAUCUUUCUCUCUCAAAUCGAACCUAGAAAUUGAGGGUGGUGGUUUGGCGGAUUUGGGUUUUUGGGAGAAUGAGACCGGAGACCAGAGCCGCUACUUUUCAGCGGGGCUAGGUCUCGGCCCUCUGCCCCCAUCAGUGUGUGCACGAGCGAUCGGAGUCUCACCGGAGGGACGAGGGGUGCUCGGCGGUGGUCGUGGGUCGCCGACGGCGACUCUGCCGAGAAGAGGGAGGAGAUGGGCGGCGGGUUGGGAGUGGAGAGAAAUGAGGGAGGCAGCUGAAAUGUGUAGAUUAGGGUUCAAUUAAUUAGUUAUAAUUAAGUCCUAAAUAUUUCAUUAUUUAGAAGUGUGUCUUUAUUAUUGGAACAACCCAAUAAGGAAAGUGUGUCUUCAUUAUUAGGACGGGAGGGAGUAUAACUUAAGAAUGUUAAUUUGAUUAGUGAUUCACACUUCACUCAUCACUAAUCUAAGAUUCUUACUAAGAAUUCAAGAUUCUUAGUAAGAAUCUUAUAUUAUAACUUAAGAAUGUUAAUUUGAUUAGUGAUUCACACUUCAAUCAUCACUAAUCUAAGAUUCUUACAAAGAAUUCAAGAUGUAAUAAUAAUAAUAAUAAUAAUAAUAAUAAUAAUAAUAAUAAUAAUAAUAAUAAUAAUAAUAAUAAUAAAAUUAAUUAAUAAAUAUUUUUUUCGACAUAAAAAUAGGACGAAAACGAGACCGAUCAAUAAUUAACGAUAUCUCUUGGAUAUCAUCUAGACAUAUUCUAAGGUUAUGUAUGUAUAUUGUAUAUUGUAUAUUGAAAUAGAGUUUAAUUAAAUGAAUUAAUAGGUACUAGAUAUAUCAAUAAUACGAGUGUUCUGUACUGGUGACCACUCGAAAGGAACUUAAAGAUUAAGCGUGCUUGAAUUAGAGCACAACUAAGAUGGGUGACCGACUGAAAAGUUCGUCUAACGUAUGCAAUACUAUAUAAAUACGAAAAUACUUGUGUGAAAUAAAAAAAUAAAAAAAAUAAUAAUAUAAAAAAAUAAAUUAAAAAAAAUUACUGGCGGCACAUAGCCGUAGCUAAUCACAUGCGGCCGACGCCGCCGGUAACACUCCGACAAUCCGGCGAGGGUCGCCACCGCCGUCCGGUGAACAUUACCGGCGGCGGUGCGCCGCCGCUAAUUACCGACGACAAUUGCCGCCGGUAACCUUCCAACAAAGGUCCGCCGAUCAACGGCAACAUUCACCGGCGGCAUUGCCGCCAUUAUUUACCGGCGAUGGCCGAUGGUCAUUUGCCGUUGGUAUUGUGAUCACCGGCAAGGAUGUUACCGACGACAGCUCGCCGCUGGUGAUUGUAAUUAUCGGGGGCCGCCCUAAAUUACUGUCGGCAAAUGGCCGCCGGUAAUCCCGCGUUUUUUUGUAGUGUGUAGACAUGCAUUCACCUAAAAGAGUGGAUAAGCCGACCUCAUCCGAACGAUUCUUGACUUAAGUCCCCCCAUAUGCAUCGGGUGGCUCAUUCCCAAGGCGGCUUGAGCCGGCAAUGAGCCACCACCGAUGUGGAUGUUCUUAGACUCUUAACUUUCAAGUGUAUAUUCCAGAUAAAACUAGUGAUAUCCUAGGUUUAGCUAUGUUGUUAAUUGAUUAACAACAUUUGAUAUCUUUCUUUCUUCAUUCAUAGGGGCGUGCGUUGCCCAACUUGUGUCCCAUUAUUCGGACUCAGCAAGGCUUGUUCCUUGGUUAUUUCUAUGAAAUGGUUGUACCUUGAUUACAGUUAUUUCUUCAAGAAUUGAGGUCACCACUAUAGAUUGUACAUAAAAGCAUGGCUUUUAAAAAAAUGAAGUUGUAUUUUUUUUUCUUUUAAGAAAUAUGAAGUUGGUUUCUAUGUUGCAUAAACAUGUGCGAAAAAAAAUUAUGGUUGAUGGUAAGUGUUUUAAAAAGUCUAUGAUGUGGUGAUGCGACAACUAAAAUCAUUUUGUCAAGCUUACGGAUCUGUAAUAAUUUUCUUGGGUCUCGCUAAUUUUAUCGCUUUGUUAUAAAAUGGCUUCGAAUUAAAAUCUUUAAUUUAAUUCAUGCUACAAAUCGGAAUUAAAUCAUGACUUAAAUUAAAAAAUAAUAUCUCUAUCGUAAUAGUUAAAUAACGUGAUUUUAACAAAGCAGUUAUUAAUCUACAUAAAAGAAUUAUUGACUCGCUCAAUAAUCGGAUUGUGAUUCCCGCGUGUAGUUAAUAGAUAGAAGUAAAAUCACUCGUUUUGGAUUUUGUAUUGAUAUUUCAAUUCAAAUAACUUAAUUAACUUUAUCUGAUAAUCAUAAUCUACAUGAUCAUAACUAGAAUAUGUAAAAUAUAAAUACUGCAUUUAGUUGUCUUAAAUAUCAUAUAUACCAGACUUAACUCAAUAUUUAAAAAUCAACGUCAGAGCUGAUAUAAUGUUUCAAAUAUAAGAUUUUCUAAGUAACUAACACGAGUAACCUAAUCACAACACUUUCGCACUCGAAGUUACCAGUUGGAUGUAGGUUAGCUAACUGAUCUCAUACUUAAUAAGACAAAGUAUCUAAAUAAAGUUAGUUCGCCGAUCGUGUGUUGAUCUGAGUUAGCUAAAGCUAGUUGAUAAGUCUUAGUUGGUUAAAUUGAACAAGCAAUGUCAUAAAAAAAUGGGUAAAUAUCACUUUAAACCCCAAACUAUUUUCGCACUAUCAAUUAUAUUCUGAACUAUUAAAAAUAAUUUUUUAAACCUUGAACUAUUAAUUUUAUAUCAAUUGUACCCUUUAUCCAUUUUUCAUCCGUUGAAUUUUUAAUGAGUAAUGCAUAUAAUCAUGUCGCUUUAUAUAAUAUAGGUCAAAAAAAGAAUGAUUCAAAAUAUAUUGUAACACCCGGUGAGCCACGUCAAAUUUAUAAGCUAAAAAAAUGAACGAAUGGUACAAUUGAUAGUUCAAGGUUUAAAAAAUUAUUUUCGAUAGUUUAGGAUAUAAUUGAUAGUGCGAAAAUAGUUUGGGGUUUAAAGUGAUAUUUACCCUAAAAAAAUUUAUGAAUGAUAUAUUUUUCCUCUAUAUCAAUAUUUAAUCAUGCGGCACAAAACAUGCACCAUUUUUUAACAAGAUUUUUGUGCACCAUUUGGUCAAUCUUGUGCAAAAGUGUCUCACCAAAUUUGGAGUUUCUAUAUCAUAAUAAAUUACUAUCAAAUCUAAUUAAGUUCUAGCACAACAUAAAAUCUUUUUGCAUUGUUCUAAUCUUUCCCGAUUAAAAAGAAAAUGUGCAAUUUUUUUCUUUUUUACGAUCUCCACCUUUUGCUGCUUAUUUUGCACGGAAUAAACUUACCUUGAGGUGCAGAUCCUCCCUUUCUCUGCUGUCGCCGCCGCCUUGUACGAACUCGCAGAUGAGCUUGUCCCCUAUUCCCGCCAAAUUCGAUCUGCAGAGGGCUUUCCACCCUCCAUGGUAGUUCACCCGACCAUCCUUCCACGAUGUGCGCUUCGUCUCGAACUUUCUCCCUACCGAAUCCACGAGCAACAUCGUCUCCGGGAGUUGUAGCUUGUAGGACUUCACCACAUCCGCCGGAAUGUACUGUCGUCAUAGCCCAAAACAAAACACGUCAUGCAAUGUACAAAAUUAAAUGACACAUAAAUUAAUAUUAGGACACUUAAUUACCAUCUCAUUGACUCUCUUUUCUCUCACAUCCGCCACGAAGUAAGGGUUCGUGGGCGGGCGGGCUCGCCCAGAUUUAAAAAUCUCGGCACCGUAGAAAUCCUGCUUCUUCUUCCUUUUUCCAAGCACGCUACCACCGGCGGGCUCCCCAACCUCCCAUUUUAUUGAAGGUAUGUUAUCAAUGUCGUCGGCAGCCUCGAUCUUCACUUCCGUUUUGACAUCCUGUGGUUUGGUGGUUCGGACCUCCUCGAGACACUCGACUUCGUCAUCUUCACAACGGGAGGGACUCAGAACUUUGAAAUCGAGUACACCUUUAGAAGAGGAUUGGUAGAAUAACACGUCGCCCCUUUCAAUCAUGUUAUCUUCUACAAAUUUCACCCAACCAUCUGUAAAAUACCAACCAUCGCGAAAUUUUUCUAUCUUGAGGUGCCACAAAUUGUUACUGCAGUCGCGCAGGGCCAAAUCUUGCGGCUCACUUCCUUCAAUAGACUCCACAAAGAUGGAGGGAACUCUCUGAAUUAAAACAAGUGAAAUUAUAUAUAUCAACACUACGGCCACAACCACAAAUAUUGCCAGAGAUCAAAUAUUAUAACCAGCAAGCAUUUGCGUGCAUCUUUGUGCAAACUCGAAAAUUGGAAUACAAUAAAUAAAGAUUGAUUGAACUAUCUCUAAUUAUAUGUUAUUAGAUUGACAUAUGAAAUAAACAUAUAUCAGCCUCUACACAUAAAAGUGAAAUAUAUGUUGUAUUGUUCCAAAAACUAACCAAAAGGAAAUAUAUAUACUCAUCUAUCAAAACCUCUCACAUCUACGUGAAUAAUGACGUAUUUAUAAUCUUUAUCAAAUUAUAUGAAAAUUAAUUCACUUAUAGCAACUUUAAGUUUAAAAAUGUUUGUAAUUUACGUCUGUUAUGUAUCUUUUCUCUCUCUUUUUUCUUCUUCUUUACAUUUACCAUUGAUUGGUUGUUAAUUUGGAAGAAGUUCCAAUUCUCAAUGUCGUGUCCUCUAAGUUUUAUAGUAGAUUGCUAACUUUAGUUUGUUUUUAAUUGCAGUUAUCAAUUACUAUAAUUUUUUUGUGUGAAGUGAAUUGCCGGAUCAAAUUUGCUAGCGUAAGUCACUAUUUAUAGGAAUAUCUAAUUUCAUUUUAUUCUUUCUUAGAUGAAUAUAAUUUAAUUACUAUUUAAUUUUUAUAAUGGGGAAUACUGACACAAAAAGGUUUAGAAUAUGAGGAAUAUAAGAGAAACUAAUAUUUUCACUUAUGCAAUACACGAGAAACUAAUAUUUUAUAUUUUACACGGAUGUAAAGAAAAGAUUGGUGUAAAUUAAAAAAAAAGUAAAUAAAGCAACAAAAGAAAAGAGUGCACCAAAAUUGAUACAAAUGGAGAAUCCUGAAAUGGUAAAACGCAAAAUACAAAAACAAAAGAAAUGAAGCACAACGGUGGCGGGAAGAGGUGGACAGAAAGGGUGGUGGCAAAAAAUUGUGGAAAAGGGAGGAGGGAGGAGAGAGCGAUGGUUCAUCAAUAAUUUGAGGCGAAGAAUUGGGGACGGGCUUGAGAUCAGCUUCUGGGAGGAUGUGUGGGCGAUAGACAAACCCCUUAAGUUUGUGUUUCCGAGAUUGUAUAAUUUGAGCCUGAACAAGAAAAAGCUGGUUGGUGAAAGCGGGUCUUGGGAGGGAGGGUCGUGGGUAUGGAGGGUCGAGUGGAGGAGGGAGUUAAGGGAGAGGGAGAAAGGACUUGUGGAGGAUCUCCGGUUGGUGAUUGCUGAUUUUGCUCCUUGUGUAGAUGUAACAGACGGAUGGAACUGGAAGGCGACACCAGAUGGAUGCUUCACAAUCAAGUCGGCAUAUGAAAUUGUGGCAAAAACAAGACAGGAGCAACAAGUUUUACCUUUGGAGAUGGCAAAGGUUUGGAAGGCCCCAACACCAAAUAAAGCCAAGGUGACGGCAUGGAGAUGUCUUAGAAACAGAUUGGCAACAUGUGAUAAUUUGAGUAGAAGAAAUGUUCAGAUCAGCGUGGAGGAGAGAUGGUGCAAUGCAUGUGUUUCUAGUGAGGAAACGACGGAACACCUGUUCCUCCAUUGCUCGAAAGCAGCGGCGGUAUGGGAACAGAUCUUUCAAUGGCUCGACAUCAAAACGGCAAAUCCGAGAGGUAUCUUUCAACACUUCAUUUCUUUCAUCGCGGCUGGAAAAAAGAAGAGAGAAAGAAGACUGCUUAAAGCUUUGUGGGUGGGAACAGUGUGGUUGCUCUGGGAAAGCAGGAAUGGUAGUCGUUUUCAGGACAAGGCUUGGGAUAUUGAUAGACUUGUAUUACAGAUUAAGGGGAGACUUUGGAGUUGGAACGAGGCCUACAAAAUCAUGGAGUUAGGAAUUCCUUUUACUUCUUGGUGUUCCAAAGACUUUAAACUUGUUUUAUUGUUUUGAUUGGCAUUCCUGAUGCCUUGAUCCAUUUUCUUUCAAUAAAAGUUUUACUUUACUGAUCAAAAAAAAAAAAAGAAAUGAAGCACAAUACAUUUGAUAAUCCACGUUUGCUAACGUUUCAUGCACCAAAAUCUUGUUCUAAAAUGGUGCAUGUUUGUGCAGCGUGAGUAAAUAUUGAUAUAGAGGGAAAUGUUGAAAAAUAUACCACUGCCUAAAGAUAAUAUUAUCCAAUAUUUGAGAGAAAAUGAGUUGCCCGAGAAAAAACAUUUCAUGCAUCCUGUCCGGAGAAAAUUUUCUAUCAUAGUGAAAAUAUGAAAAAAAUACUAAAAAAAUAUUUUUUUUUCGCUCCUUUUUCAUCAAAGUAAAUUGACCCUAACCAAGGAAUAUUUUGGUUGGAAGGGAAAAAAAAAUAAGAGCUCUUUCAUCAAUAAAAUAAAUAAAUAUAUAAGUAGAAUUUCAAGUAUAGUGUGUGUUGGUUUAGCGGUAGAAUGAUUAAUGCUUAAGUCAAAAAUAUUGGGUUUGAAUUCACUGUAGUGCGACCAUUAAAUUUUUUUUGUUUAAUAAUCACUAAUUUGUAAAAAAAAAAGUAUUUCAAGUAUGAAUUCAGUGUAAGAUAGAGACUAUCCAAAAUAUUUCCUUUUUUGAGCUAGAACCAAAACAUUUCUAGUACGUAAGUUCUACUAUUUUGGUGUAGAAGCGAUAGCAAAAUAGUCCAAAGCAUUGAAGUUAGUCUAAUGUUACAUUGCAAGCAUUGUUUAUUACUCCUUACAUCUUAGAAAAAUAGUCUCAAUUUGUUAUUUUGGGAUGUCUAUAAAAAAGUUUCAUUCCAUUUGUAGGCAUUAGCCACCUCACAAAGAAGUCUCAAUAUAUCAACUUAUUUGCUUACUUUAUCCCAUUUUUUACUAUAUCACUAUCCCUAAAGUAAAAUAUUUCUUCACUUACAAUACAUUCAACAACUUUUAUUAAUCAUUAAUUUGUCACUCACUUCUAUUACUAUUUCUUCAAAACAGAGGGACUACUAAUAAUGUUGGCAUCGUUGUUAUUAUCAUCACUUACUCCUAUCUAUAUCAAAUUACAUGAAAAAUCACAUGUAGCAACUUCAAGUUUAAAAAUGGUUGUAAUUUAUGAUUCGUGUGCUUUUUAUUUUCUUCUUCUUUACAUGUACCAUUGAUUGUCUUGUUUAUUUAGAAGUUGUUCCCAUUCUCAAUGUAUGUCCUCUAAAGUAAACUUCUUUAUCACAUAAUAGAUUGCUAAUUUUAGUCUGUUUCUUAAUUGCAUUUAUCAAUUAUAAUUUAAUUCUUUUGCGGAGUGAAUUGUUGGAACAAAUUUGCUAGCGUAAGCAACUAUUUAUAGGAAUAUCUAAUCUCAUUUCUUCAAUUCCAAUUUUUUAACGGGAUAUAAAUAAAAAACUAAUUUAUUAAAGUGAUAAAAUAAUUAAAAGUCUUGAAGUAUACCAAGGUUUUUAAUCCUAUUAAGUAAACAAAAGAUUAAUAUAAUUAUUUUUUCUAUUAAAGCUAAUCCUUUGUAUUAAGUAAACAAAAAAUUAAUAUUGUUAAUUUUUAUCUAUUAAUCCUUCAAAAUGAAUGUUCCUUAUUGCUGUAAAUUGAAAAAAAAAACAUUACAAUAAAGAGCGCACGAAAAUUGAUACAAAUGGAGAAUGCUAAAAUGGUAAAAAGCAAAAGAUAAAAUUGAAGGAAUGAGCACAAUACAUUUGGUAAUUGACGUCUGAAAACGUUUCGUGCACCCCCACGCGCCGCCAUCUACAAUCAACCACUU